RNAcentral lists this ribosomal RNA (371 nucleotides) under Vibrio parahaemolyticus. RNAcentral describes it as "partial 23S ribosomal RNA". It matches the Rfam family "Bacterial large subunit ribosomal RNA", at positions 1136 to 1510 of the family's 2925-position model. The record is from RNAcentral. Lineage: Bacteria; Pseudomonadati; Pseudomonadota; Gammaproteobacteria; Vibrionales; Vibrionaceae.
AAUAGCUCACUGGUCGAGUCGGCCUGCGCGGAAGAUGUAACGGGGCUAAACUAUGCACCGAAGCUGCGGCAGCGAUAUGUAAAUAUUGUUGGGUAGGGGAGCGUUCUGUAAGCCUGUGAAGGUGUACUGUGAGGUAUGCUGGAGGUAUCAGAAGUGCGAAUGCUGACAUAAGUAACGAUAAUGCGGGUGAAAAACCCGCACGCCGGAAGACCAAGGGUUCCUGUCCAACGUUAAUCGGGGCAGGGUGAGUCGACCCCUAAGGCGAGGCAGAAAUGCGUAGUCGAUGGGAAACGGGUUAAUAUUCCCGUACUGGUGAUAAUUGCGAUGGGGGGACGGAGAAGGCUAGGCUGGCCGGGCGACGGUUGUCCCGG